Molecule: transfer RNA, 65 nt
Filed under: Mycobacterium avium subsp. hominissuis
Lineage: Bacteria; Bacillati; Actinomycetota; Actinomycetes; Mycobacteriales; Mycobacteriaceae
Description: tRNA-Phe
Rfam family: tRNA
About the family: Transfer RNA (tRNA) molecules are approximately 80 nucleotides in length.
Source: RNAcentral
AGGUCAGCGGUUAUUCUGCCCGCCUGAAAAGCGGAAGGUCGGCGGUUCGAUCCCGCCCCUGGCCA